UUAGCAUAUCAAUAAGCGGAGGAAAAGAAACCAACAGGGAUUGCCUCAGUAACGGCGAGUGAAGCGGCAACAGCUCAAAUUUGAAAUCUGGCCCUUUCAGGGUCCGAGUUGUAAUUUGCAGAGGAUGCUUCGGGUUCAGCUCCGGUCUAAGUUCCUUGGAACAGGACGUCAUAGAGGGUGAGAAUCCCGUAUGUGACCGGUUGCCAUGCCCGUGUGAAGUUCCUUCGACGAGUCGAGUUGUUUGGGAAUGCAGCUCAAAAUGGGUGGUAAAUUUCAUCUAAAGCUAAAUAUUGGCCAGAGACCGAUAGCGCACAAGUAGAGUGAUCGAAAGAUGAAAAGCACUUUGGAAAGAGAGUCAAACAGUACGUGAAAUUGUUGAAAGGGAAGCGCUUGCAACCAGACUUGCCUGCAGGUGAUCAGCCGGUAUUCUUACCGGUGCACUUGCCUGCAGUCAGGCCAGCAUCGGUUCGGGCGGCUGGAUAAAGUCCACUGGAAUGUAGCUCCCCUCGGGGAGUGUUAUAGCCAGAGGUGCCAUGCAGCCCGCCCGGACCGAGGACCGCGCUUCGGCUAGGAUGCUGGCGUAAUGGUUGUAAGCGACCCGUCUUGAAACACGGACCAAGGAGUCUAACAUCUAUGCGAGUGUUUGGGUGUCAAACCCAUGCGCGUAAUGAAAGUGAACGGAGGUGGGAACCCUCAAGGGUGCACCAUCGACCGAUCCUGAUGUCUUCGGAUGGAUUUGAGUAGGAGCAUAGCUGUUGGGACCCGAAAGAUGGUGAACUAUGCCUGAAUAGGGUGAAGCCAGAGGAAACUCUGGUGGAGGCUCGCAGCGGUUCUGACGUGCAAAUCGAUCGUCAAAUUUGGGUAUAGGGGCGAAAGACUAAUCGAACCAUCUAGU
Molecule: ribosomal RNA, 895 nt
Filed under: Acarospora nodulosa
Lineage: Eukaryota; Fungi; Ascomycota; Lecanoromycetes; Acarosporales; Acarosporaceae
Description: partial large subunit ribosomal RNA
Rfam family: Eukaryotic large subunit ribosomal RNA
Source: RNAcentral